GACGAACGCUGGCGGCGUGCCUAAUACAUGCAAGUUGAGCGAUGAAGAUUGGUGCUUGCACCAAUUUGAAGAGCAGCGAACGGGUGAGUAACGCGUGGGGAAUCUGCCUUUGAGCGGGGGACAACAUUUGGAAACGAAUGCUAAUACCGCAUAAUAACUUUAAACAUAAGUUUUAAGUUUGAAAGAUGCAAUUGCAUCACUCAAAGAUGAUCCCGCGCUGUAUUAGCUAGUUGGUGAGGUAAAGGCUCACCAAGGAGAAGAUACAUAGCCGACCUGAGAGGGGGAACGGCCACAUUGGGAAUGAGACACGGCCCAAACCCCUACGGGAGGCAGCAGUAGGGAAUCUUCGGCAAUGGGCGGAAGUCUGACCGAGCAACGCCGCGUGAGUGGAGAAGGUUGUCGGGUCGGAAAACUCUGUUGGUAGAGAAGAACGUUGGUGAGAGUGGAAAGCUCAUCAAGUGACGGUAACUACACAGAAAGGGACGGCUAACUACGUG
This 497-nucleotide ribosomal RNA is filed under the name uncultured bacterium. RNAcentral's name for it is "partial 16S ribosomal RNA". It matches the Rfam family "Bacterial small subunit ribosomal RNA", at positions 28 to 507 of the family's 1533-position model. The record is from RNAcentral.